UGUAAGCGUAUACCAAGGUUGUUGCAGUUAAAACGCUCGUAGUCGGAAUUUGGCAGUUCCGGAUGUGUGCACGUCGUGUGCGCACUUCGCGGGGAUUGCUUUUGUGGUCUUGCGUAGGAUGAGGCACUUUUAUUAGUGAACGUCCUCACGCAACCACUUUUUACUGUGAGAAAAUCAGAGUGCUCAAAGCAGGCAUUUGCCGUGAAUGUAUUAGCAUGGAAUAAUAGAAUAGGACUUGGUUCUAUUUUGUUGGUUUGUUGGGACUGAGUAAUGAUUAAGAGGGACAGUUGGGGGCAUUUGUAUUUCGGUGCUAGAGGUGAAAUUCUUAGAUUACCGAAAGACAAACUGCUGCGAAAGCGUCUGCCAAGGAUGUUUUCAUUGA
RNAcentral lists this ribosomal RNA (382 nucleotides) under uncultured eukaryote. RNAcentral's name for it is "partial 18S ribosomal RNA". It matches the Rfam family "Eukaryotic small subunit ribosomal RNA", at positions 592 to 976 of the family's 1831-position model. The record is from RNAcentral.